This 767-nucleotide long non-coding RNA is filed under the name Homo sapiens (human). Its description in RNAcentral is "non-protein coding lnc-SLC7A13-1:3". Lineage: Eukaryota; Metazoa; Chordata; Mammalia; Primates; Hominidae. The record is from RNAcentral.
UUUUAUACUAUCCUUUGUCAGAUAUUGGUGUUGUGAAUAUUUUCUCCCAGAUUAUGGCUUGCUAUGGCAGUCAGCCCCCAAGAUGGACCCCAUUGAUUCUGGACUCCUGGUGCCAAAACCAUUGUACCCAGAUCAACUGCAAACAAGAACAGAGUUUUAAUGGAAAUUUUAAACAAGUAAGAUGAAAAUCCUGAAGCAUUUCUUUCAAGAAUUGUAACAGGAGAUGAAACAUGGCUUUACCAGUAUAAUCCCGAAGACAAAGUACAAUCAGAGCAAUGGCUACCAAGAGGUGGAAGUGGUCCAGUCAAAGCAAAAGCAGACCUGCCAAGAGCAAAGGUCGUGGGAAUAGUUUUUUGGGAUACUUAUUUUGCUUGUUGACUUUCUGAAGAGCCAAAGAACAAUAAUAUCUGCUUGUUUCAAGAGUGUUUUGAGAAAGUUUGCUAAAGCUUUAGCAGAAAAAUUCCUGGAAAAGCUUCACCAGUCUUUUUCUACCGCAACAAUGCUCCCACUCAUUCUUCUCAUCAAACAAGGGCAAUUUUACAAGACUUUCAAUGAGAAAUCAUUAGGCAUCGACCUUACAGUCCUAAUUUGGCUCUUUCUAACUUCUUUUUGUUUCCUAAUCUUAAAAAAUCUGCAAAGGGCUCCCAUUUUUCGUCAUUUAAUCAUGUAAAAAAGACAUGGUUAAAUUUCCAUGAAUCUCAAUUUUUUUAGGGAUGGAUUAAAUGACUGGUGUCAUCACUUACAACCAUGGUUGACCUCGAUGGAGC